ACUCCUACGGGAGGCAGCAGUAGGGAAUCUUCCACAAUGGGCGCAAGCCUGAUGGAGCAACACCGCGUGAGUGAAGAAGGGUUUCGGCUCGUAAAGCUCUGUUGUUAAAGAAGAACACGUAUGAGAGUAACUGUUCAUACGUUGACGGUAUUUAACCAGAAAGUCACGGCUAACUACGUGCCAGCAGCCGCGGUAAUACGUAGGUGGCAAGCGUUAUCCGGAUUUAUUGGGCGUAAAGAGAGUGCAGGCGGUUUUCUAAGUCUGAUGUGAAAGCCUUCGGCUUAACCGGAGAAGUGCAUCGGAAACUGGAUAACUUGAGUGCAGAAGAGGGUAGUGGAACUCCAUGUGUAGCGGUGGAAUGCGUAGAUAUAUGGAAGAACACCAGUGGCGAAGGCGGCUACCUGGUCUGCAACUGACGCUGAGACUCGAAAGCAUGGGUAGCGAACAGGAUUAGAUACCCUGGUAGGAUAGA
RNAcentral lists this ribosomal RNA (472 nucleotides) under uncultured bacterium. Its description in RNAcentral is "bacterial SSU rRNA". It matches the Rfam family "Bacterial small subunit ribosomal RNA", at positions 335 to 799 of the family's 1533-position model. The record is from RNAcentral.